Molecule: ribosomal RNA, 214 nt
Filed under: Bacillus sp. EK-CH-I15
Lineage: Bacteria; Bacillati; Bacillota; Bacilli; Caryophanales; Bacillaceae
Description: partial 16S ribosomal RNA
Rfam family: Bacterial small subunit ribosomal RNA
Source: RNAcentral
GUCGAGCGGACCUCUUCGGAGGUUAGCGGCGGACGGGUGAGUAACACGUGGGCAACCUGCCUGUAAGACUGGGAUAACUCCGGGAAACCGGAGCUAAUACCGGAUAGUAUCUUGAACCGCAUGGUUCAAGUUGGAAAGACGGUUUCGGCUGUCACUUACAGAUGGGCCCGCGGCGCAUUAGCUAGUUGGUGAGGUAAUGGCUCACCAAGGCAAC